AGUGAACGCUGGCGGCGUGCUUAACACAUGCAAGUCGUACGAGAAAGCCUCUGCUUGCAGAGGCGAGUAAAGUGGCGCACGGGUGAGUAACACGUGGGUAAUCUGCCCUUGAAUUGGGGAUAACAUUGCGAAAGCGAUGCUAAUACCGAAUGACAUCCAUAAGUCUUCGGAUUUAUGGAUCAAAGGUGGCCUCUUCUUGAAAGCUACUGUUUGAGGAUGAGCCCGCGUCCCAUUAGCUCGUUGGUAGGGUAAUGGCCUACCAAGGCUACGAUGGGUAGCUGGUCUGAGAGGAUGAUCAGCCACACUGGAACUGACACACGGUCCAGACUCCUACGGGAGGCAGCAGUGAGGAAUUUUGCGCAAUGGGGGAAACCCUGACGCAGCAACGCCGCGUGAGUGAUGAAGGCCUUCGGGUCGUAAAGCUCUGUCAAGUGGGAAGAACCCGCAUUUGGCUAAUAUCCAUUUGCGCUGACGGUACCACUGAAGGAAGCACCGGCUAACUCCGUGCCAGCAGCCGCGGUAAUACGGAGGGUGUGAGCGUUAAUCGGAAUUACUGGGCGUAAAGCGCGCGUAGGCGGUUUGUUAAGUCGGAUGUGAAAGCCCCGGGCUCAACCUGGGAAUUGCAUUCGAUACUGGCCGAC
Molecule: ribosomal RNA, 641 nt
Filed under: uncultured bacterium
Lineage: Bacteria
Description: bacterial SSU rRNA
Rfam family: Bacterial small subunit ribosomal RNA
Source: RNAcentral